GAUGAACGCUUGCUACAGGCUUAACACAUGCAAGUCGAGGGGCAGCAUGGUCUUAGCUUGCUAAGGCCGAUGGCGACCGGCGCACGGGUGAGUAACACGUAUCCAACCUGCCGUCUACUCUUGGACAGCCUUCUGAAAGGAAGAUUAAUACAAGAUGGCAUCAUGAGUCCGCAUGUUCACAUGAUUAAAGGUAUUCCGGUAGACGAUGGGGAUGCGUUCCAUUAGAUAGUAGGCGGGGUAACGGCCCACCUAGUCUUCGAUGGAUAGGGGUUCUGAGAGGAAGGUCCCCCACAUUGGAACUGAGACACGGUCCAAACUCCUACGGGAGGCAGCAGUGAGGAAUAUUGGUCAAUGGGCGAGAGCCUGAACCAGCCAAGUAGCGUGAAGGAUGACUGCCCUAUGGGUUGUAAACUUCUUUUAUAAAGGAAUAAAGUCGGGUAUGGAUACCCGUUUGCAUGUACUUUAUGAAUAAGGAUCGGCUAACUCCGUGCCAGCAGCCGCGGUAAUACGGAGGAUCCGAGCGUUAUCCGGAUUUAUUGGGUUUAAAGGGAGCGUAGAUGGAUGUUUAAGUCAGUUGUGAAAGUUUGCGGCUCAACCGUAAAAUUGCAGUUGAUACUGGAUAUCUUGAGUGCAGUUGAGGCAGGCGGAAUUCGUGGUGUAGCGGUGAAAUGCUUAGAUAUCACGAAGAACUCCGAUUGCGAAGGCAGCCUGCUAAGCUGCAACUGACAUUGAGGCUCGAAAGUGUGGGUAUCAAACAGGAUUAGAUACCCUGGUAGUCCACACGGUAAACGAUGAAUACUCGCUGUUUGCGAUAUACAGCAAGCGGCCAAGCGAAAGCGUUAAGUAUUCCACCUGGGGAGUACGCCGGCAACGGUGAAACUCAAAGGAAUUGACGGGGGCCCGCACAAGCGGAGGAACAUGUGGUUUAAUUCGAUGAUACGCGAGGAACCUUACCCGGGCUUAAAUUGCAGAUGAAUUACGGUGAAAGCCGUAAGCCGCAAGGCAUCUGUGAAGGUGCUGCAUGGUUGUCGUCAGCUCGUGCCGUGAGGUGUCGGCUUAAGUGCCAUAACGAGCGCAACCCUUGUUGUCAGUUACUAACAGGUUCCGCUGAGGACUCUGACAAGACUGCCAUCGUAAGAUGUGAGGAAGGUGGGGAUGACGUCAAAUCAGCACGGCCCUUACGUCCGGGGCUACACACGUGUUACAAUGGGGGGUACAGAGGGCCGCUACCACGCGAGUGGAUGCCAAUCCCCAAAACCUCUCUCAGUUCGGACUGGAGUCUGCAACCCGACUCCACGAAGCUGGAUUCGCUAGUAAUCGCGCAUCAGCCACGGCGCGGUGAAUACGUUCCCGGGCCUUGUACACACCGCCCGUCAAGCCAUGGGAGCCGGGGGUACCUGAAGUGCGUAACCGCGAGGAGCGCCCUAGGGUAAAACUGGUGACUGGGGCUAAAU
This 1454-nucleotide ribosomal RNA is filed under the name uncultured organism. Its description in RNAcentral is "SSU rRNA". It matches the Rfam family "Bacterial small subunit ribosomal RNA". The record is from RNAcentral.